Molecule: ribosomal RNA, 309 nt
Filed under: uncultured bacterium
Lineage: Bacteria
Description: partial 16S ribosomal RNA
Rfam family: Bacterial small subunit ribosomal RNA
Source: RNAcentral
AGAGACAGCAGCAGCCGCGGGAAUACGUAGGGGGCGAGCGUUGUCCGAAGUUACUGGGCGUAAAGAGCGCGUAGGCUGGUCUUUAAGUGAGUGGUGAAAGGUUCGGGCUCAACCCGGACACUGCCUUUCAUACUGGGGACCUUGAGUGUGGGAGAGGCGAGUGGAAUGGUCGGUGUAGCGGUGAAAUGCGUAGAUAUCGAUCGGAACACCCAUGGCGAAGGCAGCUCGCUGGCCUAACACUGACGCUGAGGCGCGAAAGCGUGGGGAGCAAACAGGAUUAGAUACCCCAGUAGUCCCUGUCUCUUAUAC